UGGGGAAUAUUGCACAAUGGGCGAAAGCCUGAUGCAGCGACGCCGCGUGAGGGAUGACGGCCUUCGGGUUGUAAACCUCUUUCAGCAGGGAAGAAGCGGAAGUGACGGUACCUGCAGAAGAAGCGCCGGCUAACUACGUGCCAGCAGCCGCGGUAAUACGUAGGGCGCAAGCGUUGUCCGGAAUUAUUGGGCGUAAAGAGCUCGUAGGCGGUUAGUCGCGUCUGCUGUGAAAACUCGAGGCUCAACCUCGGGCUUGCAGUGGGUACGGGCUGACUAGAGGUGCGGUAGGGGUGACUGGAAUUCCUGGUGUAGCGGUGGAAUGCGCAGAUAUCAGGAGGAACACCGAUGGCGAAGGCAGGUCACUGGCCGCAACUGACGCUGAGGAGC
RNAcentral lists this ribosomal RNA (387 nucleotides) under uncultured bacterium. RNAcentral's name for it is "partial 16S ribosomal RNA". It matches the Rfam family "Bacterial small subunit ribosomal RNA", at positions 355 to 754 of the family's 1533-position model. The record is from RNAcentral.